GUGUUUUAUUGCUCUUUGAGGCCCACUAAGAGGCUCAGUGCUGUUUCAUAGUCCAGAGUAGCAGCAGCUCUUUAUUCUUUUUAACACACAGCUGAAAAAUACUCAAGUUCUGUUACAAAAUGGUGUGAUUCCUUUUUUUUUGCCAGUCCGCCCUCAAAACCGCACGUACUCCCCCCACUGUAGGCGGCAAACAGCACUCUCCAUGCAAUUAAAGGGGAGCAGACGUGCACAGGGAAAAACGUCGCCUUCCACAGCACUGUCUGCACAAAGAGGGUCUCCAUUUUGAAAAAGAAACAAAAACAAACCACACUAUGAUAAUGGUUUGCAAAGACAUGACAUCUGAGAAGACAAAAACCUCCGGAGUUGCGAUUCCUUCCCAAAACACCCCUUGUUUUCUCAGGUUGUGUGUUCGGAUGCUGAAAGAAUCAUAGAGGCUGCGGCGAAGCUUCUUAGCCCUGCCCCUUCCUCCCUGGGCCUAAGGCUGCGCGCGGAGCGAAGCAGAAAGGAGUCGCCAUGUUUUCUUUACAUGGAGGGUCUAAAUAAAAAAUGAAGGCAGUAGAGCUUCAGGACGUUGCAAAGGACCAGAAGGAGUGGGUCUCAAGAGCCAAAUUCGGAAAAGAAUAUAUUAUACCCAUCAUAUCAGGAUUUAUGCUUGUCUUUGCUCUGCACGCCCUGCCACGCCAGAGAGGGGACUCCAGAGCUGCGGCCGUAACCAUGGCCACUCCUCAUUCACCACUCUUGGCAAAUUCCUCCUGGUGUAAAAGACAGCGGGAAGGAGAGAUGCAUCAGCAGAUGCACAAACAUGACAACCCUGUGUCUCUCUCAGCAAACCACCAUGUGCCUAAAACCCACUGAAUUUUUAGGUAUUAACUGAUAAUGCUCUUUUAGCAAAAUCACCUCUCAACAUCUGCAGCGUGAAAAACAAAGCAAAUAUAUAAUAAACCUAGAUUAAAAACCA
This 958-nucleotide long non-coding RNA is filed under the name Cyanistes caeruleus (blue tit). Its description in RNAcentral is "lncRNA (ENSCCEG00000008295.1)". Lineage: Eukaryota; Metazoa; Chordata; Aves; Passeriformes; Paridae. The record is from RNAcentral.